This 26-nucleotide non-coding RNA is filed under the name Mus musculus (house mouse). Lineage: Eukaryota; Metazoa; Chordata; Mammalia; Rodentia; Muridae. The record is from RNAcentral.
UUGGUUCCAGGAGUUGAAGUUUGACA